GACGAACGCUGGCGGCGUGCUUAACACAUGCAAGUCGAACGAAGAGCGAUGGAAGCUUGCUUCUAUCAAUCUUAGUGGCGAACGGGUGAGUAACGCGUAAUCAACCUGCCCUUCAGAGGGGGACAACAGUUGGAAACGACUGCUAAUACCGCAUACGAUCUAAACUCGGCAUCGAGGAUAGAUGAAGGGUGGCCUCUACAUGUAAGCUAUCACUGAAGGAGGGGAUUGCGUCUGAUUAGCUAGUUGGAGGGGUAACGGCCCACCAAGGCGAUGAUCAGUAGCCGGUCUGAGAGGAUGAACGGCCACAUUGGGACUGAGACACGGCCCAGACUCCUACGGGAGGCAGCAGUGGGGAAUCUUCCGCAAUGGACGAAAGUCUGACGGAGCAACGCCGCGUGAGUGAUGACGGCCUUCGGGUUGUAAAGCUCUGUUAAUCGGGACGAAAGGCCUUCUUGCGAAUAGUGAGAAGGAUUGACGGUACCGGAAUAGAAAGCCACGGCUAACUACGUG
RNAcentral lists this ribosomal RNA (510 nucleotides) under uncultured bacterium. Its description in RNAcentral is "partial 16S ribosomal RNA". It matches the Rfam family "Bacterial small subunit ribosomal RNA", at positions 28 to 507 of the family's 1533-position model. The record is from RNAcentral.